Molecule: ribosomal RNA, 347 nt
Filed under: Ptenos texanus
Lineage: Eukaryota; Metazoa; Arthropoda; Insecta; Hymenoptera; Argidae
Description: partial large subunit ribosomal RNA
Source: RNAcentral
AUAAUAAUUAGUCUCUUAAUUAGAGGCUGGAAUGAAUGAUUGGACGAGAUAAAUUCUGUCUCAUUAUAAUUAAAUUUUGAAUUUAAUUUUUAAGUUAAAAAGCUUAGAUUUUUUUAUAGGACGAGAAGACCCUAUAGAGCUUUAUAGUUUUAAUUUAAUUUUUUUUUAUUUUUUAUUAUUUAUUUAAAAUUAUUUUGUUGGGGCGACAGGAAAAUUUAUUAAACUUUUUUAAUUUUUUUACAUUGAUUUAUGAAUUUUUGAUCCUAAUUUUUAGAUUGAUAGAUUAAGUUACCUUAGGGAUAACAGCGUUAUUUUUUUUUAGAGUUCAUAUUGAUAAAAAAGAUUGC